GACAGAGGUCCCGAGCGUUAGGCGGAAUCACUGGGCUUAAAGCGUGUGUAGGCGGAUUUGUAAGUACCUUGUGAAAUCCCACGGCUUAACCGUGGAACUGCUCGGUAUACUGCUUAUCUUGGGCCACUUAGGGGUUACCGGAACAAACGGUGGAGCGGUGAAAUGCGUAGAUAUCGUUUGGAACGCCAAUGGUGAAAACAGGUAACUGGGAGUGUGCCGACGCUGAGACACGAAAGCCAGGGGAGCGAACGGG
RNAcentral lists this ribosomal RNA (253 nucleotides) under uncultured bacterium. Its description in RNAcentral is "partial 16S ribosomal RNA". It matches the Rfam family "Bacterial small subunit ribosomal RNA", at positions 524 to 776 of the family's 1533-position model. The record is from RNAcentral.